This 253-nucleotide ribosomal RNA is filed under the name uncultured bacterium. Its description in RNAcentral is "partial 16S ribosomal RNA". It matches the Rfam family "Bacterial small subunit ribosomal RNA", at positions 524 to 776 of the family's 1533-position model. The record is from RNAcentral.
UACGGGGGGGGCAAGCGUUGUUCGGAAUUACUGGGCGUAAAGGGCUCGUAGGCGGCCAACUAAGUCAGACGUGAAAUCCCUCGGCUUAACCGGGGAACUGCGUCUGAUACUGGAUGGCUUGAGUUCGGGAGAGGGAUGCGGAAUUCCAGGUGUAGCGGUGAAAUGUGUAGAUAUCUGGAGGAACACCGGUGGCGAAGGCGGCAUCCUGGACCGACACUGACGCUGAGGAGCGAAAGCCAGGGGAGCAAACGGG